GACGAACGCUUGCGGCGUGCCUAAGAAAUGCAAGUCGAACGAGAGCUUCGGCUCUAGUGGCGAACGGUCGCGUAACACGUGGGCAACCUACCCUGAAGCGGGGGACAACAGUUCGAAAGGACUGCUAAUACCGCAUAUGAUCUUGUGAGGCAUCUCUAUGGAUCAAAGGAGCAAUUCACUUCAGGAUGGGCCCGCGGCCUAUCAGCUAGUUGGUGGGGUAACGGCCUACCAAGGCUUCGACGGGUAGCUGGUCUGAGAGGACGACCAGCCGGAUUGG
RNAcentral lists this ribosomal RNA (277 nucleotides) under uncultured bacterium. RNAcentral's name for it is "partial 16S ribosomal RNA". It matches the Rfam family "Bacterial small subunit ribosomal RNA", at positions 28 to 316 of the family's 1533-position model. The record is from RNAcentral.